CCUACGGGCGGCAGCAGUGAGGAAUAUUGGUCAAUGGGCGAGAGCCUGAACCAGCCAAGUCGCGUGAAGGAUGACGGCCCUACGGGUUGUAAACUUCUUUUGUCAGGGAGCAAUUGAGUCCACGUGUGGGCUUAGCGAUAGUACCUGAAGAAAAAGCAUCGGCUAACUCCGUGCCAGCAGCCGCGGUAAUACGGGGGAUGCGAGCGUUCGCCGGAGUUAUUGGGUUAAAAGGGUGCGUACGCGGAAUAUCAAGUCAGCGGUAAAAAGUCGGGGCUCAACCCCGUCGUGCCGUUGAAACUGAUGUGCUUGCGUGGGCGAGAAGUAUGCGGAAUGCGAGGUGUAGCGGUGAAAUGCAUAGAUAUCACGCAGAACUCCGAUUGCGAAGGCAGCAUACCGGCGCCCAACUGACGCUGAAGCACGAAAGCGUGGGUAUCGAACAGGAUUAGAGACCCUUGUAGUC
RNAcentral lists this ribosomal RNA (460 nucleotides) under uncultured bacterium. Its description in RNAcentral is "partial 16S ribosomal RNA". It matches the Rfam family "Bacterial small subunit ribosomal RNA", at positions 338 to 795 of the family's 1533-position model. The record is from RNAcentral.